UACGGGGGGGGCAAGCGUUGUUCGGAAUUACUGGGCGUAAAGAGCUCGUAGGUGGCUUGUCACGUCGGGUGUGAAAGCUUGGGGCUUAACUCCAGGUCUGCAUUCGAUACGGGCUGGCUAGAGGUAGGUAGGGGAGAACGGAAUUCCUGGUGUAGCGGUGAAAUGCGCAGAUAUCAGGAGGAACACCGGUGGCGAAGGCGGAUCUCUGGGCCUGUCCUGACGCUCAGGCGCGAAAGCUAGGGGAGCAAACAGG
This 253-nucleotide ribosomal RNA is filed under the name uncultured bacterium. RNAcentral describes it as "partial 16S ribosomal RNA". It matches the Rfam family "Bacterial small subunit ribosomal RNA", at positions 524 to 776 of the family's 1533-position model. The record is from RNAcentral.